RNAcentral lists this ribosomal RNA (157 nucleotides) under Alcyonium sp. CSM-NZ2. RNAcentral describes it as "partial 16S large subunit ribosomal RNA". Lineage: Eukaryota; Metazoa; Cnidaria; Anthozoa; Malacalcyonacea; Alcyoniidae. The record is from RNAcentral.
GGAAUGGUCUCAGCGAUGCUCGACUAUAUAGGCCCCAUCGACGUAAUCAACUUCUGGCUGCUGCAAAGAAGGAAAACAAAGGGUUUAGGGAUUAAUAAGGCGCCACUUUUGUGGCACCUUCUCAUAUACCAUGUGGGUGCAUAGCCCCUGGUAUACU